This 964-nucleotide long non-coding RNA is filed under the name Salmo salar (Atlantic salmon). RNAcentral's name for it is "lncRNA (ENSSSAG00000107367.1)". The record is from RNAcentral. Lineage: Eukaryota; Metazoa; Chordata; Actinopteri; Salmoniformes; Salmonidae.
UAGACACUACAACCUGGUCUAGAGAGACACUACAACCUGGUCUAGAGAGACACUACAACCUGGUCUAGAGAGACAGAGACACUACAGAGACACUACAACACAAAGAGAGGAGAGAAGCCAAACUCUCUCUCUCUCUCUCUCUCUCGCUCUCUCGUCAGAACAGAACAAUGUAUGUUGUGUGGCCUCUGUGUUUGAACUCAGUGUCACAAUGGUCACCUCAGUCCCCCCGGACACAGACACCAACCAUUUCACCGACCAUUUCACCGACCAUUUCACCGACCAUUUCACCAACCAUUUCACCGGCCUACUGUAGUUCUGUUAACGUCACUAGCUCUGUCUCUCUCACAGUAACCAUAGUAACAGUGUAUAACACCAGCCAUUAGCAAGGCAAUAACCUGACUACCGUGUGACUAAACCUGCUGUGGAACUCUGGGUAGUGUAGUGUGGCCGGACCAGACUGGGAUCCUGUCAGUGUAUUUAUCUGACUGUAGUAGUGUUCAUGUUCUAGAACUGACAGGGUCAACAGGAAUGUUCUAGAACUGACAGGGUCAACAAGAAUGUUCUAGAACUGACAGGGUUAACAGGAGUGUUCUAGAACUGACAGGGUUAACAGGAGUGUUCUAGAACUGACAGGGUUAACAGGAGUGUUCUAGAACUGACAGGGUUAACAGGAGUGUUCUAGAACUGACAGGGUUAACAGGAAUGUUCUAGAACUGACAGGGUUAACAGGAGUGUUCUAGAACUGACAGGGUUAACAGGAGUGUUCUAGAACUGACAGGGUUAACAGGAGUGUUCUAGAACUGACAGGGUUAACAGGAGUGUUCUAGAACUGACAGGGUUAACAGGAAUGUUCUAGAACUGACAGGGUUAACAGGAGUGUUCUAGAACUGACAGGGUUAACAGGAGUGUUCUAGAACUGACAGGGUUAACAGGAGUGUUCUAGAACUGACAGGGUUAACAGGAG